AAGAUUGUAGGUUAAGAGAAUUAUAAUUUAAAAUAAAGUUUUUUGUCGUAAAUAGGAAUUAUUUUCAAGAGAAGUUUGUUUUGUUUUCGUGCGCGUAGGAGACGAGACGUACGAAUUAAAUCAGUCGAGGGAAGGAUAAACGUUAGAAAGGAAUUAAAGAGAAAACGAGAGUUUAUGUAAAAGAGAGUUAUAGAAUUUAUAGUGAUGUUUUGUUUUAAUUAGAAAAAUGUUGAGAGUUGUUUCAGAACGACACGUCAGUGGACGUGGCAGAAUGAACACGUGACGGGGAGGUGCUGAGACCUAGCGGAGAACGGAGGAACCGCAAGCGAGGGUUGGCGCACCUGAUGGAAUUCGGUGACGUCACGGGCUCAUACGGAGACGUGGACAGGCCGUGACCUUGUUUUGAUCAGCUGUACGGUAACUUAGCGAUAAGAAAAUAGACUAUUGGUUAAAUACAUUUAAAUUUAAGUGUGUUUUAGGAGAAGAGGAACUUUCAGUAUAUUCCUUAAGAUGAGCUGAGCAGCAGUCCAGUUUACAAGAUGACAAGAGUUCGAGAGACAAGAUACAAGAUCACUGAAACAAGAGCCAAGACUGAAGAUUCAAGAGAAGAGAAAGCUGGCAGCCAUGGACUUACAAGUGGAGAUUAAUAAGGUCAUGUAAAGUUUUAUUUUUUUUUAUGGAAGACAGUAACUGGAGUUUUUUUUUUGUGUUAUAAACAUUAUUUACAGAACUUUUUAGGUUAUAGUAAUGUAAUGGAACUAGUGAGUUGUGGUAGCUGUCAAAAAGAACUAAUACCUUAAGUUUAAUUUUUAAAGUUAAUUUUCUUAAUUUACAGAGGGAUUAGUAGUUUUUUUUAAACCUUAUUUAGGUUGGAAUUUAAAUACAAUAGCUUAUUAUAAAUGUGUACGAACAGUUCAAGUUCACAGUACUGAUAGGUAGGUCAGAUGAUCUUAUUGAUUUUGAUGAUUUGUUGUUUUGAGUUGAUUUUUAAGUGUUGUGAAUUAGACAAUGAAAUAGUUCUGAAAACUUAAAUUAUUUCAAGCUAAGAAAUAGUAAAGUUAAUUGUAACUCAAAGGACACCAGAAUUUAAUUUUUUUUUGAAUUAGUAAUGUUUGAAAAUUUUAUACUUUACAAGAAAGGUUAUAAACAAACAGAUCGGAUGGAACAAGGAUGCAGUAAAUCACAAUUUCAUUUAGAAUUAUUGAUUAGCUUUUGAGGUUAUGAAGUAAAAGUAAUUAUAGUUUAAAAGUUUGAAUAAAAAAAAAUGUUUUUUUUUAUUUGUUUCAAAUAGAAAGUUUAAAAGUUAAUUAGUCAUGAUCUAGGUGGGUGAUGGGGUGGGAAUUGGCCACUCUUUUUCCCUAUAACCUCCCUAACAUGGCCUUCUAUUACAACUAACAGAAAUAAAGAAGAAGAAAAAUGAAGAAUUAUUAGUUAGAAUGUUUCUUUCAUGAAGAUACCUGAUGAACUUUUACUGUUUGGAAGAAUAGAAGCAAGGUUAGUCAGAUAUUUUUACUCAGAAGAAGAAGAAGAUAAAGCAGUUUUAUGACUCGACAAGCCAGAGAUUGGUGUUUCCCCUCUGCGCUCCUAUUGACUACGUUGUUUACUCUCAUGGGAUAGCUGGUUCGGCACCAUGGAGAGAGAUUGGUGGGCAUUGUGGUUGCCCCCAGAAGAAAAGAAGAGUAGAAGAGGUUAUGGGUGGGUCAUGUGAACUGACCUUCAACCCAGUUACUUCGUGGGGACUAUUUGCUGUAUAGAGAAGAUCAAGACUCAAGAGGUAGGGAAAAUCAUUGGAGGUCAUGUUUCCCUUCCUUAAGUUUUUCCUAUCAAAUUAUUUGCCUGAUUAGAUUAUGCUAAGGGUGGGAUAAUUUAUGUUAGCAGUUGAAUUAAUUAAUUUUAUUUUUUUGUGUGUUUGCAUCCUUGCCCAUCGAUUGCAGUUUAGUAGUUAGUUUUGUAUUUGUCAGGCGUGAUGGUAAUGCCUGUUGAUGAUGUUUCAGAAUUGUAAUCUGUUCGUGAUGAGGAUGGCACAACUCCGAAGCAGAUGUGGGGAGAAGUUGUGAGCUGCCCUGGAAGCCAGUCCAGUAGCUGUUGGAGUUGAGUGGUGUUUGCUGAUGGCCAGCCCAGGGAGCUACUCUUCUCGACAACACUGACUUCGAGGAGUUGCACCAACCUUCACGAGAUAAGAGUUUAAUUAAUUGAAACACUGUAAGGACACUUAAUUUUUUUUGAAGAACGAAAGAAGUAUGGUAAUAAACGGAAACCGAAAAAAAAA
Long non-coding RNA from Bacillus rossius redtenbacheri, 2269 nucleotides. RefSeq lists it as uncharacterized. NCBI's taxonomy places the organism in Eukaryota, Metazoa, Arthropoda, Insecta, Phasmatodea, Bacillidae. The transcript has 2 exons. The record is from RefSeq and is a predicted model, not a curated record.